CCUACGGGUGACAGCAGUGAGGAAUAUUGGUCAAUGGGCGCGAGCCUGAACCAGCCAAGUCGCGUGAGGGAUGACGGUCCUACGGAUUGUAAACCUCUUUUGCCGGGGCGCAAGCGUGCGUUCGUGAACGCGCGUCGAGAGUACCCGGAGAAAACGCCACGGCAAACACCGUGCCAGCUGCCGCGGUAAUACGUAGGAUGCGAGCGUUAUCCGGAUUUAUUGGGUUUAUAGGGCGCGUAGGCGGGAUGCCAAGUCAGCGGUAAAAAUGCGGUGCUCAACGCCGUCGAGCCGUGGAACCUGGCGUUCUUGAGUGGGCGAGAAGUAUGCGGAAUGCGUGGUGUAGCGGUGAAAUGCAUAGAUAUCACGCAGAACUCCGAUUGCGAAGGCAGCAUACCGGCGCCCUACUGACGCUGAGGCACGAAAGCGUGGGUAUCGAACAGGAUUAGAUACCCUUGUAGUC
RNAcentral lists this ribosomal RNA (460 nucleotides) under uncultured bacterium. Its description in RNAcentral is "partial 16S ribosomal RNA". It matches the Rfam family "Bacterial small subunit ribosomal RNA", at positions 338 to 795 of the family's 1533-position model. The record is from RNAcentral.